GACGAACGCUGGCGGCGUGCUUAACACAUGCAAGUCGAACGGUGAAGCGCCUUCCUUUUUGGUGGGUGUGGAUGAGUGGCGAACGGGUGAGUAACACGUUAGUAACCUGCCCCCUUCUUCUGGAUAACCGCAUGAAAGUGUGGCUAAUACGGGAUAUUCUGUGUCUGUCGCAUGAUGGGUCUGGGAAAGAUAUUGUUUCGGUGGGGGAUGGGCUCGCGGCCUAUCAGCUUGUUGGUGGGGUGAUGGCCUACCAAGGCGGUGACGGGUAGCCGGCCUGAGAGGGUGGAUGGUCACACUGGGACUGAGACACGGACAAGACUACUACGGGAGGCAGCAGUGGGGAAUAGUGCACAAGGGGCGCAAGCCUGAUGCAGCGACGCCGCGUGAGGGAUGGAGGCCUUCGGGUUGUGAACCUCUUUCGCCAGUGAAGCAGGCCUGCCUAGUUUGUGGGUGGGUUGACGGUAGCUGGAGAAGAAGCGCCGGCUAACUACGUG
RNAcentral lists this ribosomal RNA (494 nucleotides) under uncultured bacterium. Its description in RNAcentral is "partial 16S ribosomal RNA". It matches the Rfam family "Bacterial small subunit ribosomal RNA", at positions 28 to 507 of the family's 1533-position model. The record is from RNAcentral.